CUUUGAUAACUCGUGCCCUCUUCUAAAGACUACCUUCUUACAUAGUCAGCCUCCUCUUCACGAGCUUGUGAGAAUGAGCCUUCCUAGCUCCAUAAGACACAAAACAUUUAGCUUCUGAACACACAGAACAUGGUGCUUGGCCAAUGGGGGAACCAGGAAUUGAAGUUCUCUGAAGAAGCCACACUGUUAUUGAAGGUUCUGCAGAUUGUUUGAGGAGAGAGUCAGCAUUGUAGAUUGAGCACCAAAAUUCUCAGGGGCCAUCUUAGGCCCAUCAACUAGUCAUUUACGUUAACUUUCGUAUGUGACUUAACAUUUUUGUUAACUAGUAGGGAAACUUCUUGGAAUGUGAUGCAAAUCUUAGUAGACCUCUAACCUCUGCCAACCCUAAAGCUAAGAAUACCAUAAAAAUCAUAUCUAAAACCCACUUACAACUUUCUUUUGUUCUCUGACUAUGAAAGUUCAUGAGACCUCUUCUGUGGAGGAACCAGUCAGUCAGGGUUAACUUGAAUUCAUAUUCCUGGGCUAUGGUCACCCUAUUGGUUAAGAAUAAAUUAUUUUCCAAUUUUCUUCAAACAGAGUUUUUAAUUUGUAUCACUAAUGUUAUUACCCAAUCCAGUGAAGUAACAGUUUCAUUAAAUACAGUUACUGGAAUGAAAUAGAAUUUAGCCUGACCAAAUUGUCAAUUUCUCCAUAAGUUUUACAUUAAUUCACAUUUCUUGUAAUAAAUUUGUUUAUUCUGCAGAA
Molecule: long non-coding RNA, 744 nt
Filed under: Marmota monax (woodchuck)
Lineage: Eukaryota; Metazoa; Chordata; Mammalia; Rodentia; Sciuridae
Source: RNAcentral